GACGUACCCACCCCAAACGUUAUUCGGAAUCACUGGGCUUAAAGAGUCCGUAGGCGGCUUGGAAAGUUGGGUGUGAAAUACCUCAGCUCAACUGAGGAAUUGCGCUCAAAACUACCCAGCUCGAGAAAGACAGAGGUGAGCGGAACUGAUGGUGGAGCGGUGAAAUGCAUUGAUAUCAUCAGGAACACCGGUGGCGAAAGCGGCUCACUGGGUCUUUUCUGACGCUGAGGGACGAAAGCUAGGGGAGCGAACGGGAUUAGAUACCCUAGUAGU
Molecule: ribosomal RNA, 273 nt
Filed under: uncultured bacterium
Lineage: Bacteria
Description: partial 16S ribosomal RNA
Rfam family: Bacterial small subunit ribosomal RNA
Source: RNAcentral